GACGAACGCUGGCGGCGUGCCUAACACAUGCAAGUCGAACGGAAGUAAGUGCUUCGGUAUUUACUUUAGCGGCGAACGGGUGAGUAACGCGUGAGGAACCUGCCUUUCAGUGGGGGACAACAGUUGGAAACGACUGCUAAUACCGCAUGACGCUUCUUAGGGGCAUCCCUGAGAAGUCAAAGCUUUAUGUGCUGAAAGAUGGCCUCGCGUCUGAUUAGCUAGUUGGUGGGGUAACGGCCCACCAAGGCGACGAUCAGUAGCCGGUCUGAGAGGAUGAACGGCCACAUUGGGACUGAGAUACGGCCCAG
Molecule: ribosomal RNA, 308 nt
Filed under: uncultured bacterium
Lineage: Bacteria
Description: bacterial SSU rRNA
Rfam family: Bacterial small subunit ribosomal RNA
Source: RNAcentral